AGAAAGAAAGAAGGAAAGAAAGAAAGAAAGAAAGAAGGAAGGAAGGAAGGAAGAAGGAAGGAAGGAAGGAAGAAAGAAAAAGAAAGAUCAUGUAAAAAAAAAUUAAGACAUAUUUUGCUAAAGCACUAUGGAGUCAGCAUCCCCACAGCAGGUCACUUCAAGCCCAUUUCCUUUGUAAAACAUCCUCGAUAUCAUGCUUUAUCAUGUCCUCCUUUUUUAUCUUUUAAAAUAUAUUUUUGUAUUUUUCCCCUAAAAAUAAAAUGAUGUUGCAGGCAACCUUUCUGGGUGGUCUACCCGUGAGACAAGAGUUGCCAGGUCUCCUCUGACAGAUGGGUCAUGGCAAGGUCAGUCCCCAUGUUGGACACCCAGGAGGGAGGCUGCGUGAACUACACCAGGAGGGGACACACCAGGGACAUAGGUGCUCGAGUGUCACAGCUGGCUAUGGGCAGGAACCAACGGAAGGGCUCAGAAUUUAACAUAGAGUAAGGCAAAGAUGAGGUCAGAUGAAAAGUCUCCUGACUCCCAAAUUCUACCAUGAUAGCUUUGAAAAUUUCUGUGAUAUUGGAGGAAGAGCCUUCAAAAGUAAGGUCCCCAGUGAACAGGUGACACCAAAAGCUUGAUCAUGUUUAUGGCUCACUACCUGGAGUUUUCAUCCUAUAAGAGUUUAAUGAAGACAGUAUCUCCAGAAGACAAAUGUUUGCCCAUUCAUUGUGUUUAACAAGAAGGGAUUAGUGGAAUAGUCAGUAUACUGGAAGGUAUCUUUGUCAUAUCAACAUGAUGGAGAUGCCUAGAGCAGGUCCCAAAGGGGUGGGACACAGGAAAGAGAAGUGAGCAUAGUGGGAGCUAGUGGCAAGAAGUAUUCUGCAGCCCUGGAUAUCCUAAGGAGUGGGAGAGAACUAGAUGCCAAGGAGAGUGAGCUUUGGAAGUAUUUUUUCUUUUUUCCCAAUAAUCUUCCUUUUCUUUUCCCCUGUCCCCCUUCCUCCCUCCCUCUCUCCUCCUCUCCUUCCUCCCUCCCCUUCAUAUACAUUUAUUGAACACUUGCUAUCUGCCAAUCACUGUUUUAGGCUUUGGCAGUCACUGGUGAACAAAAUCAGCACAGUCCUCACCCUUGGGAAACUUAAGAGUCUUACAGGGGAAGACAGACAGUAAAUAAAUAUUCUCAAAAAUAUAUACCAAUGCAUUACACUAAGUACUGUGGAACGGAAGCAGAAGGGGCUACAGGAUAUUACGUGAGUAACGCUGGCUUAGAUGGGGGGGGGGGGUCAGGGAGUACUUCUCUCAGGAAGUGACAUUUAAGCUUAUGGCUGAAGGAAAAGGAGAACCUGGGUCAAGAAACUGUUUGUGUGUUGGGGGAGGGGCAGAAUUACAGCCACGGGAAGAAAAGAAAUAAUAACAAUGAUAGCAAUGACAACAACAAUAGAUAAAGCAAUAUUGAGCAGUUACAUGCCGGUCAUUAUUCUAAAUAUUUAAUAACCAUUUAUUCAUUUAACCCCUUACAUCAACUUUCUGAGGCAAUUACUGUUACUGUCCCUAUUUUUCAGAUAUGGAAAAUGAGGCACAAAGUAGUGAAGUAACUUGCCCAGCCAAGGUCAUACAGCUAGAAGGUAGAGACACCUGGAUAAAAGUCAGAUAAUCUGUCUGCAGGAAAGGAAGGCCUGGAGAAGGGAGAUGAAGGAAAGGCAGAGGGCUGAGAUGCAGCAGUGGCAGGGGUGGAGGGGGAGGGCAUCCCAGGCGCUCAGGGGCCAUGUGAUGGGUUCUGAAAUUUUUCCUUAAUUCCAUAGUGGAAACCCAUUGCAGAGUUUUAGGGGAAGAGAUCUGCACUUUCCCACACCCUCUCUGGUUCCAGUGGGAGAGCAACCUGGAGCAUGAGAGCAGUCGGGAGAAGACCAGUUGGGAGAAUCCAGUAGUAAUCCAGGUGGGAGGACAGCCCUCUGCAGGAAAUAAACAACUAAAUAACUAGCCACCUAGCUGAACUUCUUAACGCCUUCCUUCCCUUCUGUUCUUUCUUCCCCUCGUUCGCUCUGUCUCUGCUGCUCUUUCUGAACCACCCCUCCCCCCUUCUUUGAGCAGAAGGUAGAGGACACAGUAAUAAGACUCCCUCCCUCCCCACACGCACACCCUGCUGUUUGCCAAGCCACAGGCAGGCUUUGGCAUUCCUCCAUCUUCUCCAGGGCACCCUUCCUGCUUCCCGAUCAGGAGCAUCCUCUUCCGUGCCUGCACGCUGAGAGGGAGCAGCUGCCCGUAUCCAGAACAACUCCCAGCUGUUCUCCCAACUUUUCUCAAGUGUUUCUUGGUGUCAAUGCCUCUAAUUAGUUAAAAUAGGAAGGGGGGGUGGUAAACAGAGGAGCAAAAGAGAGGCCUAAUUUUAGCUGUAGCCAAAAGAACUUCCCCCUAAAUACACUGUGAGCUCAAAAUAUUUAGCUAAGCUCAUACGGACCAGGCAGGGAUAGGAUUUAAAGAGCUACAGAAGGAACAUUCAAAGGCCAAAUGGGACAGCCCCCAUCUUCCCUGACGACUGGAGGGAAGAGGAAGGGAAUAAAAACAGACUGGGUCCUUACUCUGUGCCAGGCUCUGUGCCGGGUGCCGUGAGGGCAUCACCUCAGCCUUUCAUCUCCUCACAGCCAGAGGAUGAUGCAGGGACUAGGUUUCCCUCAUUGUACAGCUGAGGAAACUGAGACCUGGAAAAUUUGAAAUUACUCUAAGAUGACAAAGCGAGCCGGAGAGCCAGGAUUUAAACGUGGGUCUCUCUGACUCCACUGUGUCUAGCAAGAAGAAGAUGGGGUCUCGAACCGAGGCCAGACAGUGCACUGGGUAGACAGCUUAAGCAUAGAUUCAGGGCAGAGCCUCUGAGCAAGAACCCAGAGGAUGCUGGCUCUCAGAAUGGCAAGAGGCAUCAUUUGUAAGAACUGGCACAAAUCACUCAGGGCCUCGACUUUUUCCAAUCCUGAAAUCCCUCCCAGCCCUCCCAAGAUAUGCCGGAGGAAUGACCAGGCUGUCACUAACAAUUUAAAGGUAGAUAAAUCAUUUGGUGAAUGCCCCCCACCCCUGAUUCCAGCAAAAAAAAGAGCCCUGCUGCCCACAAUCAAAAAAGAUGCACUGUUUGGCAAAGGCAUCUGAACUGGCUAAUCCCCCCCGCCUUCUCAAGGUUAUGGUGGAAUCUGGGCGCCUUCAGAAAACGGGCCACCUGGUAGGACUCAUCACGUCAACUUCCUUCAUCUCAGUUCAAGCUUAAAAGGCCUCUUCACUGGGAAGCUCCCCAGUGAGGUUUUUCACGCACAUCUGGAGACUUCCCACAAUAGGCCUUUGAAGCGGCCUGAAGUAUUCCAGGAAGUCUGCCUCACUGGGCUGAGGUUUAAAGAGCAGAAACUCACAUUUAUUUUUCUUUCCCGCCUUCUUUGACAAAACUCCCCCCAGUGGUUUGUGGGCAUUUGCAAAGCAGCCCUGAUUUGCAACUCACUACUUCUAGGGCUGCAGUCUUAAAGAGAAACAACAAUGAAGCAAAUUCAAAGGGAGCACUGGUACCAGAAAGAUCUGUUUAUGUGUUUGGCUCCUCCACCAGGCUCUGAAUUCAUGCUUUAGUCAUCUUUGUAGCAGGAAGAAAGUGGACUCUGGACUCAAAGGGACUUGCUUCAUUACUCAGCAUUGGUGACAUUCUGUCGAAUCACUUAAAACUCUCUGAUCUGUGAAAUGAGUUAAUGGUGCCUGCCUUAUGUGGAGCACUAAACGUUACAUGAGGUGGGGGAGAAAAUCACUUUGCACAUUGUCCGACAUGGACUUCAUCGGAUCUAUGCUGUCCCUCUGCCAGGAUCACCCUCCGUCGUAUGGGCUAGAAGCUAUUCAUUCUUUACAAGUCAACUCACAUGGUGGUUUCCUCCUCUGGUGGUUUCCUCCUCCCUCUUGCUUAGGUUAGUUUAGGUAGGUGUCUUCUAUGCUUCAGUACCUCCCUAUCCUCUAAUCCGUAGUUUAUUGUUAUUUCCAUUUAAGGUAUAUGCCCACCAUACCCCCUACCGCCACUGUUAUAAUGACUGUAGACACAUGGGAUCUUCCUUUUUCACUGUUGUUAUCUCCAUACCAAGCACAGUGCCUAGUAUAUUGAUGUGCUCAGUGAGUAUCAACUGAUUAAUCAAUGCAUUUAACAAAUAUUUAUUAAGCACCAACUCUGAGUCAGGUACUAUUUUAGCUACUGAAGAUACACCAGUGAAUAAAACAGACAUAGCUCCUGCUUUCAUCAGUUUACAUCCUUGUAAGAGUAUCAGGAAAUACACUAAGGAAAUACACAGAGAGACUUCCAGUUACAGCUCAACUGUGUAAAGGAGUUAGAAGUCAUUACCCCCAUUCCUAUAACAAGAAGAGAGCUAACAAACUGAAAAUCACUGAUCUGUCUUGGAUUGCUUGGAGAACUGAGGUUACAGAGCAAACCACGACCCUGAGAUCUGGAGAAACAGGAUAAUUCUAGAGAGCUGCAGUUGAGAUCUUCUUACCUAGAGUAGAAGCCACUGGAGCCACAAACUGGUAGGGACAUUUAACUGAUAAUUUUGAUAAAGUGCUGGGGGCUGAGCGUGGACUAGCAUGAGACUGAGAAACUUCUGGGGCUUCAGUCUACUGGGAGGCCCACCCUUUCAUGGGUUUUACCUCCAGGAAGCCUACCAGAUUCUCACUGUAAAGAGGCAAGAAUGAUCCCCUACUGGCUCCAGCAGGAGUGAAAAAGAGGAAACACUGUGAAAAUAUGCCAGAGAGUUCUUUAUAACAAAGGCCUACUUUUAAGGGGAAAAGGCUUAACCAGAGCCUUACCCCACCCAGGGGAAGGACACCCCUCCAACUCUAGCUCCUUCCAGUCUCCCUUUCUCACCUACAAGGGAGGAAAAAAGGUAAGAAACAUUUGUGAAGGUCACAACCCAAGGACAUAGGCCCAGGAUUCAAUCAAAAGAUUCUAGGCUGUUUCCCUUCCCUACACCUUAAAAUGAUACAAACAGGGCUCCAGUGUAGUAAUAGUGGAUGACAACUGAAAGAGCUACAAGAUGCAGGCUCUAUUUAAGGAGGAGUUCUUGUGGAAGCCCAAAGACAGGGAAGCAAUUUAAGCCUAAAUUAAGCAAAGAAAAAAAGAAAAAAAAGAAGGAAAAAAAACUAAAUAAUAAAAAGCACAAAUCAGUGAAAUUGAACACAGGAAAACAAUACAGAAAAAAUCAAUGAAACUGAUUUUUCAUUGAACAAAUUGAACAAUGUAUAAAAAGAACUACACAUCACAACCAAAUAGAAUUUAUUCUCGGUAUGCAAGGCUGGUUCAACAUUUAUAAAAAUCAAUCCGUGUAAUUCACCACAUAAACAGGUUAAAGAAUAAAAUUCAUAUAAUCAUAUUAAUAGAUGCAGAAAAAGCAUUUGAUAAACUCCAACACCUACUCAUGAUUAAAAACUCUCAGCAAACUUGGAAUAUAUGGGACCAUCCUCAAUUUGAUAAAGAACAUCUACAAAAAAACUCUACAACCUCAAUUUGAUAAAGAACAUUUACAAAAAACUCUACAGCUAAUAUCAUACUUAAUGAGAAAAAACUGAAUGCUUUCCCCCUAAAGACUGGGAACAAGGCAAGGAUGUCCUUUCUUACCACUCUUAUUCAAGAUUGUAUUGCUCUUAGCUGGUGCAAUAAGACAAGAAAAACAGAUAAAAAAGCAUACAGAUUGAGAAGGACGAAAUAAAACUACCUUUAUUCUUAGAUGACAUGGCUAUCUAUGUAGGAAACCUCAAAGAAUAAAAAAAAAUAAAACACCUUUUUAAACUAGUAAGGGAACAUAGUAAAGUCACAAGAUACAAGGUUAAUAUAUAAAGUCAAUUACAUCCCACCAAUUACUAGCAAUGAAAAAUUGGAGUCUGAAGUUAAAAUCAUUUACAAUAGCAUACUGUAAAAAACCAAAGUCCUUGGGUAUAAGUUUAACACAAAAUGCAUAGAAUCUAUACAUGGAAAAGUACAUAACUCUAAUGAAAGAAAAAGAAUAUUUAAGUAAAUGGAGAGAUAUUCUAUAUUCAUGGAUUGGAAGAUUCAAUAUUGUUAAGAUGACAAAUUUCCCCAACCUGAUCAAUAGAUUCAACACAGUCCCAACUGAACACUCAGCAAGCUAUCCAUAAACAAAACAAAAUGAUUCUAAGACUUAUAUGGAAAGGCAAAAUACUUAUUAGUCACUAUAAUACUAAGGGAGAACAAAGUUAGAGGAUGGACAUAACCUGACUUCAUGACUUACUAUAAAGCUACAAUAAUCACAAUAAUGUGGUAUUGGUGAAAGAACAGACAAAUAGAUCAAUGGAACAGAAGAGUAAGCCCAUAAGUAGACCCACACAAACACAUUCAAAUUGAUCUUUGACAAAGGAGCAAAGUCGAUUAACAGGAUAAAGGGUAGUGUUUUCAACAAAUGGUGUUGAAAAAACUGGACACACACGUGCAAAAAAAAAAAAUCUAGAUACUGACAUUACACCUUUCACAAAACUUAACUCAAAAUGGAUCAUAAACCUAAAUGUAAAAUGUAAAACUGUAAAGUUCUAGAAGAUAACACAGGAGAAAAUCAAGGUGACCUUAGGUUUAAUGACGAGUUUUUAGCUACAACAUCAAAAGAACAAUCCAUGAAAGAAAAAAAUGAUAAGCUGGAUCAUUAAAAUUUAAAAACUGCUCUGUGAUAGACAAUUUUAAGAGAAUGAAGAGACAAGCCACAGACUUGGAGAAAAUAUUUGUAAAACAUAUAUCUGAGAACUUAUAUCCAAAAUAUACAAAGAACACUUAAAAUUCAACAAUAAUAAAGCAAGCAACCCAGUGAAAAUAUGAGCAAAAGAUAUGAACUUCACCAAAGAAGACAGACUGGUGGCAAAUAAUCAUAUGAAAAGAUACUCAACAUCAUUUGCCGUCAGGGAAUUACAAAUUAAAACAGUAAUGAUAUUCCACUACAUAACUAUUAGAAUAGACAAAAUCUGCAAAACUGACAAUGUCAACACUGACGUAGAUGUGGAGUAAUGGGAACUCUCAUUCUUUGCUGGUGGAAAUGCAAAAUAAUACAGCUACUUUGGAAGACAGUUUGGUAGUUUAUAACACAUCUAAACAUGGUCUUAAUAUACAACCCAGCAAUUGUGUUCCUAGGUAUUUACCCAACUGAUUUGAAGACUUAAGAACACACAAAAACCUGUAUGCAAAUGUUUAUUCAUAGUCACCCAAAACCAGUGGCAACCAGAUGUCCUCCAGUGGGUGAAUGGAUAAACAAACUGGUACAACUAUAUAAUUGAAUAUUAUUACACAAUAAAAAGAAAUGAACUACCAAGUCACAAUAAGACGUGGAUGAAUCUUAAAUGCAUAUUACUAAGUGAGAGAAACCAGUCUGAAAAGGUUACCUAUUCAUGAUCCCAAUUACGUGACAUUCUGGAAAAGGGAAAACUACUAGGGUAAUGAAAAGAUCUGUAGUUGCCAAGGGCUCAGGGAGAAGGGAGGGAUGAUUAAAUAGGUGAAGCACAGGGGAUUUUUUUGGGGGGUGCUGAAAUUAUUCUAUAUGAUACUGUAAUUGUGUAUAUACAACAUUAUGCAUUUGUCAAAACCACUGAAUGUUACAGCACAAAGACUGAACCUUAAUGUGUAUACAUAUACAGAUACAUUAUGUCAGAUGGCGAUAAGUACUAAGGAAACAAAAUCAAGCAGGAUAAGGGAUAAAGAAUGACAGGAGUAGACAAGGCAGUUUGUAUAGGGUGGCAGGAAUGGCAUCUCUCUGAUAAAAUGAUAGUUGAGCAAAGAUCUGAAGGGGAUGAGAGGAUGAAUCAUGCAAAUAUCUAAGGAAGAGGAUUCCAUGGAGAGGGAACUGUACGUCUAAAAGCCCAGAGGUGGGAGUGUGUUUAGUAUAUGGACAGAGAGUGAAAGGGCCAGGAUAGAUGGAGCGGCCUGGGCACGAGGCGAAGAGCCAGGCCGGGCGGGCCUUCUAGGCAACAGUGAGGACCAAAUAAAUGAAUCAAUAAGUGAGAUGAAUGGAAACUGUUCAUCUUGAAAUUUAUUUUAGGUACUCCAGCCUUUCAAAAAAAAUUUAAAUGAAGAGUCAUCCUUUGCAAUACACCUCCCUCCCCCAAGCAUACACAAACAUUUUAUCAUAACAAUACCAAAAUCUCUUAGCCUGCGAUUGCUCCAACAAGACCCUCUAGUCCCGCCGAAGCAGUCUAAGGCAUGUCAUCUCCUUUCCAAAACAAAAUUUCAGACUAGUUUCUAGAAAGGCAAAGUGAAAUGAAGGCUUGAGGCCAACUUUUCACAUAAUUCGAUUUAAAAAAAAAAAACAAAACUCACAUAUGCCUGAAAUCUUUAGAUAAUGGAGAGAAAAGUGGAUUUUCCUCUCUUCGUUAUUAGAGCAAUUGGCUCAAACUCUCAUUUCAUUUUGGACAUAUAGGCACAACCCAGAGUCUGUAAUUAGUUUCAAACCACCAAAGUAGAAACAGAAUAAAAUUUCAACUAACUGAAGGACCUUUUUUCCCUUGACAUACUUGGCUUUCAAUGGCUAGAGGCAUAAGGCAUGGAUCCAAAAAGCAAGCUUAUGACUGGGACUGAUUUAAAAAAAACAAAAUAACUUGCAAAGUAUGCCUUGGGUGAGUCCAGUAUAAGCUCCUUACCUGCUGCCUUCUCCCUCUCUAGUUCUAGUCCCAUGUAAGGAGAGAAGAUAUCCUGAAGGAUGACGAAAUCCCCAAUCAUUGGAGGGCAGUCCCCACCAGGCUCAUCACUGGAAUGCUAAGAUAGGCGCAGAGCUCUCACCUCUUUCAGAGGUUGGAAGUUCCUUCCUCCGGGAAACUUUUCCUGACCCACUCAGUUGGAUAAGAAGCCCCUCCCUUGGUACCAUGCCACCCUGGGAUCUCCAUCUGUUCGCUGUCACACUGCAUUGCUACCGCUAGGCAAUUUCUCCCUCACCUCAAUAGGCACGCAAGAGCUCCGAGAGGGUAAGAGUGGGAAAUACAUGGAUCUUGCUGUUGCUUCUCCA
Long non-coding RNA from Orcinus orca (killer whale), 8975 nucleotides. RefSeq lists it as uncharacterized. The record is from RefSeq and is a predicted model, not a curated record. NCBI's taxonomy places the organism in Eukaryota, Metazoa, Chordata, Mammalia, Artiodactyla, Delphinidae. The transcript is spliced from 2 exons.